AUACUUAUCUGGCAGGGGAGAUACUAUGAUCAAGAAGGUGGUUCAUCCAGGGUGAGGUUCAGCCAUUGUACUCUGGUUGUGCUGACUUCUGCGAGUUCCCCAAAUGUGGAAAUCUUGACUGCAUAAUAUCUGGUAGCGGGGGGCUGCGUUUGCGCUCUCCCCUG
Small nuclear RNA from Phycodurus eques (leafy seadragon), 164 nucleotides. RefSeq annotates it as U1 spliceosomal RNA. The record is from RefSeq and is a predicted model, not a curated record. NCBI's taxonomy places the organism in Eukaryota, Metazoa, Chordata, Actinopteri, Syngnathiformes, Syngnathidae. The transcript has a single exon.